This 580-nucleotide ribosomal RNA is filed under the name uncultured bacterium. Its description in RNAcentral is "partial 16S ribosomal RNA". It matches the Rfam family "Bacterial small subunit ribosomal RNA", at positions 355 to 932 of the family's 1533-position model. The record is from RNAcentral.
UGGGGAAUUUUGGACAAUGGGCGAAAGCCUGAUCCAGCAAUGCCGCGUGUGUGAAGAAGGCCUUCGGGUUGUAAAGCACUUUUGUCCGGAAAGAAAUCCUUGGCUCUAAUACAGUCGGGGGAUGACGGUACCGGAAGAAUAAGCACCGGCUAACUACGUGCCAGCAGCCGCGGUAAUACGUAGGGUGCAAGCGUUAAUCGGAAUUACUGGGCGUAAAGCGUGCGUAGGCGGUUUGCUAAGACCGAUGUGAAAUCCCCGGGCUCAACCUGGGAACUGCAUUGGUGACUGGCAGGCUAGAGUAUGGCAGAGGGGGGUAGAAUUCCACGUGUAGCAGUGAAAUGCGUAGAGAUGUGGAGGAAUACCGAUGGCGAAGGCAGCCCCCUGGGCCAAUACUGACGCUCAUGCACGAAAGCGUGGGGAGCAAACAGGAUUAGAUACCCUGGUAGUCCACGCCCUAAAACGAUGUCAACUAGUUGUUGGGGAUUCAUUUCCUUAGUAACGUAGCUAACGCGUGAAGUUGACCGCCUGGGGAGUACGGUCGCAAGAUUAAAACUUAAAUGAAUUGACGGGGUCAUAGCUG